UCAUUUUCCUUUGUAUGUUUCUCUUUGAUUUCCUCCAGGUGUCACCACUUCAUCCACGACAUCAUCCACAAUUGCUGAGAUGCCGUCCAUGAUCGCAGAGACAUGGUCCAUGAUUGGAAAAACAUUGACGAUGAUGAAGGAGACAUUGUCCAUGAUUAAAGAUAUUGUCCACGAUCAGAGACGUUAUUCCUGAUCACAGAGAGUCUUCAUACAACAAAGAAGUUCUUUGAGACCUGGACAGAGGCCUCCAGGCGUCACCACUUUGUCCACAACAUCGUCCACGAUCGCAGAGACUUCGUCCAUGAUCGGAGAGACAUUGUUGAGGAUGAGGGAGACAUCGUCCAUGAUCAGAGACAUUGUCCAUGAUCGCAGAGACCUUGUCAAAGAUGAGAGAGACGUUGUCCGUGAUCAGAGACAUUGUCCCAUGCUUCGUAGAGACCUUGCGAUAGAAUCGGCGGAGACGGGGGUCACCGAUUUGACGGCAUUGCCCGCGAUCAUGGAGACAUUGUCGAUGAUCACAGAGGCACCGUCUAUGAUCUCAGAGACAUCGUCCACAAUCACAAAAACAUUGUCCAUGAUCACAGAGACUUUGUCCAUAAUCUCAGAGACAUUGUCCGCGAUCACAGAGACGUAGUCCAUGAUCACAGAGAGCCUUCGUACAAUGAAGAAGUUCUUUGAGACCAGGACAGAGGCCUCCAGGCAUCACCACUUUGUCCACAACAUCGUCCACGAUCGCAGAGACUUCGUCCAUGAUCGGAGAGACAUUGUUGAGGAUGAGGGAGACAUCGUCCAUGAUCAGAGACAUUGUCCAUGAUCGCAGAGACCUUGUCAAAGAUGAGAGAGACGUUGUCCGUGAUCAGAGACAUUGUCCCAUGCUUCGUAGAGACCUUGCGAUAGAAUCGGCGGAGACGGGGGUCACCGAUUUGACGGCAUUGCCCGCGAUCAUGGAGACAUUGUUGAUGAUCACAGAGGCACCGUCUAUGAUCUCAGAGACAUCGUCCACAAUCACAAAAACAUUGUCCAUGAUCACAGAGACUUUGUCCAUAAUCUCAGAGACAUUGUCCGCGAUCACAGAGACGUAGUCCAUGAUCACAGAGAGUCUUCGUACAAUGAAGAAGUUCUUUGAGACCAGGACAGAGGCCUCCAGGUGACACCACUUUGUCCGCAACAUCGUCCACGAUCGCAGAGACUUCGUCCAUGAUCGGAGAGACAUUGUUGAGGAUGAGGGAGACAUCGUCCACGAUCAGAGACAUUGUCCAUGAUUGCAGAGACCUUGUCAAAGAUGAGAGAGACGUUGUCCGUGAUCAGAGACAUUGUCCCAUGCUUCGUAGAGACCUUGCGAUAGAAUCGGCGGAGACGGGGGUCACCGAUUUGACGGCACUGCCCGCGAUCAUGGAGACAUUGUCGAUGAUCACAGAGGCACCGUCUAUGAUCUCAGAGACAUCGUCCACGAUCACUAAGUCAUUGUCCAUGAUCGCAGAGACUUUGUCCAUAAUCUCAGAGACAUUGUCCGCGAUCACAGAGUCUUUGUACCAGGACUGAGGCCUCCAGGUAAUUCACAAACAGCUUUACAUCAACUGUCCAAUAUGUUCAAUAUUCAGUA
This is a long non-coding RNA of Lates calcarifer (barramundi perch), 1603 nucleotides long. RefSeq lists it as uncharacterized. Lineage: Eukaryota; Metazoa; Chordata; Actinopteri; Centropomidae. The record is from RefSeq and is a predicted model, not a curated record. The transcript is spliced from 4 exons.